GUUAGACCCAGCUUCAUAGCAUGAAUUCCAGCAGUGAGAAGGGGCUGUGAUCAAGGGAAUAAACACACUCCUGAGCACAAUACAUUUACCCUGGCUUGGUUUGUGGCCUCCUGCACUGGUUGGGAAGAAGUGGGAUCAGCAGGGAGAAGUGCUGGGAGAACUUAAUGAUGACUUAAUGUGAGAAGGCUAUUGAAUUUCUGGGACAUUGUUCACAGAAUUAUCUACACUGUUUGAAGGGGUCACUGCAAACUGGUUCCACCUGGCUGCAAACAGCUGUGCUGGUGAAAAAUCUUGUACUAUUGAACAAAUACAUCCUCCCCAGUAAGGGUGACAACCCUUUGGACUCCGGUGGAAGAUAUCCAGAAAACAGGAAACAACAAGGAAUUAAUUCUCCAGUUUUGUUCCUGUGAAUCUCCUACAUUUAUCAGUAAAUUACUGAGACUGGCAGCCUAAUUCUUCUGGUACUUUUUAAAGAAAAUAUCUUUCCAAACAAGAAAAAAAAAAAAAGGAUCACUGAGGAACCUUCAGGUAGCU
This 534-nucleotide long non-coding RNA is filed under the name Zonotrichia albicollis (white-throated sparrow). Its description in RNAcentral is "lncRNA (ENSZALG00000015167.1)". Lineage: Eukaryota; Metazoa; Chordata; Aves; Passeriformes; Passerellidae. The record is from RNAcentral.